GUCAGCGGUAAUAGCACGUUCAAUGCAUCAAUUUCCAACGGAUCACUGAAGUGAAGCAAAGUUGCGCGGGGUUGGUAUCUGAACGGGUGAAAGUGUGGGAAAACACUACCUACUGAUU
This 118-nucleotide ribosomal RNA is filed under the name Diaphorina citri (Asian citrus psyllid). The record is from RNAcentral. Lineage: Eukaryota; Metazoa; Arthropoda; Insecta; Hemiptera; Psyllidae.